Molecule: long non-coding RNA, 1140 nt
Organism: Lotus japonicus
Lineage: Eukaryota; Viridiplantae; Streptophyta; Magnoliopsida; Fabales; Fabaceae
Exons: 5
Source: RefSeq, a predicted model, not a curated record
UUAACUUCCCAAAUCACACAUCACUUCACAACUCAACACUCAUCACUUAAAACCCUAACGCGCCGCACCUGGAGACUCCCCCGCACCUCCGCCGUUGCGACGCUGCACCUCCGCCCUUGCACCGCCGCCGCAACUCCACCCUUGCACCGCUGCUCCAUACACCAUCGCACUCUUCAUUCAUUCCUCUCGAUCAGGUUCAGGUGCGGUCUUCAUUCUUUCCAAAUCUUCUUCUCGAAAUCACCUCUCGAUCAGGUUCAGGAUUGCGUGUGAUCUACAUUACGGGGUUUGAUCGAGUUGGGUUUUCUCCAAGUUUCAAGAGAGUUCUGUGAAAGAAGGAGAUAAUCCAGAUGAGAAAGUGUUGGUCUUGAGUUCAGAACUAGAACACCAAGCCAAGAGGAACCAGAACAGCUUUUAAUAUCAAGAAAAUUUCAAGUGACAAGGAUCUAGGUUGUUGGGAUGUAUUUCUGAAGACCCAUCGAUAUAAAAAAGAUCCCACAAAGUUUGUCUCCCCAGUAGCAGAACAAAUUGCAGCUGAUUAUGAAAGAAGUGUUACUGUACGAGACUCACAAGAGAAUGUUGAAGGUGCCAACAAAAAAUCUGAUGAUGAUAUCUACUUGGAGGUUGUUGGAGGUGUGAACACAAAGGGGAGGAUAUAUGGAUUGGGGCAACUAGCUGAAAAAUAUAAACGUUCUGCAACAACUGUUGACAUCUCACUUUCAGAGCAUGAGACCAUGAGGCAUCUUGUUUCUAAAUUAUCAGAUGAAAAUGCGAUGCUUAAGGAUCAAAUGAAGAGUUAUGAUGAGAAGUUUGAAUUCAUGCAGAGAUUCAUCAUUGAGAGAACCAGUCAAUGUCCUUCAACCUCUGCUAAUCCACCUACCAACCAGCAGAAUCCAGAUGAUGGUGAUGAUGAUAAUGAGUUUGAAGAUUAGUGUAAUGACCUUCCAUUACUACCAAACAUGUUCUGUUACUGAAGUUAUGUAUUUUGAUUUGUGCUUUGGUGAUGUCUUUUAUGUUUGUGUUAUUGUACUAUGUUGUCUUUUAGAUUUGUGAUAUGAAUUGUACUGUGGUUAUGAAGACAGUGUCUAUUAUCUUAUAUAUGUUGACUUUAUGUCUUAAUAUGGAUGUGAAACUUUUAUUCGA